RNAcentral lists this ribosomal RNA (119 nucleotides) under Neotoma lepida (desert woodrat). Lineage: Eukaryota; Metazoa; Chordata; Mammalia; Rodentia; Cricetidae. The record is from RNAcentral.
GUCUAUGGCCAUACCACCCUUAACAUGCCAGAUAGCAUCUUAUCUCAGAAGCUAAGCAGUGUCAGACCUAAUUAGUGCUUGGAUGAGAGACUGCCUGGGAAUACCAGGCACUGUUCGUU